This 749-nucleotide ribosomal RNA is filed under the name Ischnoderma sp. Its description in RNAcentral is "eukaryotic LSU rRNA". The stretch from base 213 to 366 matches the Rfam family "5.8S ribosomal RNA". The record is from RNAcentral. Lineage: Eukaryota; Fungi; Basidiomycota; Agaricomycetes; Polyporales; Ischnodermataceae.
GGUGAACCUGCGGAAGGAUCAUUAUUGAAUUUGAAAGAGGUAUUGUUGCUGGUCUUUCGGGACAUGUGCACGCCUCGCUCAUCUCCAUUCACACCUGUGCACUCUUUGUAGGUUGGUUUUGGACUUGACCUUACGGUCUCGUUUAAGCUUGCCUAUGAUUUUAUACAUACACUCAGUUUAUAGAAUGUCAUUGCGUUAAACGCAUUAUAUACAACUUUCAGCAACGGAUCUCUUGGCUCUCGCAUCGAUGAAGAACGCAGCGAAAUGCGAUAAGUAAUGUGAAUUGCAGAAUUCAGUGAAUCAUCGAAUCUUUGAACGCACCUUGCGCUCCUUGGUAUUCCGAGGAGCAUGCCUGUUUGAGUGUCAUGGAAUUCUCAACCCAUCAGUCUUGUUAUGAGGCUUUGAUGGGCUUGGAUUUGGAGGUUUAUGCUGCAUUUUUAUUAGUGCGGCUCCUCUUGAAUGUAUUAGUAGAACCUGCCGAGCAGUUCUCAGUGUGAUAAUUGUCUACGCUGUGAUUGCGAAAGCAUUAUGGGAUCUGCUUCUAACUGUCUACUUGUUUAGACAAUUUAUUUAACAUCUGACCUCAAAUCAGGUAGGACUACCCGCUGAACUUAAGCAUAUCAAUAAGCGGAGGAAAAGAAACUAACAAGGAUUCCCCUAGUAACUGCGAGUGAAGCGGGAAAAGCUCAAAUUUAAAAUCUGGCAGUCUUUGGCUGUCCGAGUUGUAGUCUGGAGAAGUGCUUUCCGCG